CGGCGAGUAGCGCAGCUUGGUAGCGCAGCUGGUUUGGGACCAGUGGGUCGGAGGUUCGAAUCCUCUCUCGCCGACCA
Molecule: transfer RNA, 77 nt
Filed under: Salmonella enterica
Lineage: Bacteria; Pseudomonadati; Pseudomonadota; Gammaproteobacteria; Enterobacterales; Enterobacteriaceae
Also listed under: 2 other names
Description: tRNA-Pro
Rfam family: tRNA
About the family: Transfer RNA (tRNA) molecules are approximately 80 nucleotides in length. Their secondary structure includes four short double-helical elements and three loops (D, anti-codon, and T loops). Further hydrogen bonds mediate the characteristic L-shaped molecular structure. tRNAs have two regions of fundamental functional importance: the anti-codon, which is responsible for specific mRNA codon recognition, and the 3' end, to which the tRNAs corresponding amino acid is attached (by aminoacyl-tRNA synthetases). tRNAs cope with the degeneracy of the genetic code in two manners: having more than one tRNA (with a specific anti-codon) for a particular amino acid; and 'wobble' base-pairing, i.e. permitting non-standard base-pairing at the 3rd anti-codon position.
Source: RNAcentral